This 75-nucleotide transfer RNA is filed under the name Fidelibacterota bacterium. RNAcentral describes it as "tRNA-Pro". It matches the Rfam family "tRNA". Rfam says of the family: Transfer RNA (tRNA) molecules are approximately 80 nucleotides in length. Their secondary structure includes four short double-helical elements and three loops (D, anti-codon, and T loops). Further hydrogen bonds mediate the characteristic L-shaped molecular structure. tRNAs have two regions of fundamental functional importance: the anti-codon, which is responsible for specific mRNA codon recognition, and the 3' end, to which the tRNAs corresponding amino acid is attached (by aminoacyl-tRNA synthetases). tRNAs cope with the degeneracy of the genetic code in two manners: having more than one tRNA (with a specific anti-codon) for a particular amino acid; and 'wobble' base-pairing, i.e. permitting non-standard base-pairing at the 3rd anti-codon position. The record is from RNAcentral. Lineage: Bacteria; Pseudomonadati; Fidelibacterota.
CGGAGUGUAGCGUAGUCCGGUUAGCGCACCUGCUUUGGGAGCAGGGGGUCGGGAGUUCGAAUCUCUCCACUCCGA